This 504-nucleotide long non-coding RNA is filed under the name Rattus norvegicus (Norway rat). Its description in RNAcentral is "long non-coding RNA NONRATT003047". The record is from RNAcentral. Lineage: Eukaryota; Metazoa; Chordata; Mammalia; Rodentia; Muridae.
GGGAGGGGCUCUAUGUUCUGGAGUGGCGCUGCUUAGUCUGGAAGCUGGGUGAGGACUGCUAGUGUCGCGUUUGAGGAGAACUGUGAGUCUGUUUGGCCUAUUCCCGUUGGUAUCCUAGCUACGAUGAGUGCUGGCCAGGAGUCUCACCUGCACGGGGAGAAACGUUGAGCCUCUCACGAUGAUGAUCUUGGAUCUAGCAAUUGGGAGGCAGCAGAUUUGGGCAAUGAAGAAAGAAAACUUCUUGAGACUUAUGGGUACAGGAAAGAAAGAACACACUGGUUGUCUUGUUAUAGGAGAUCACAAAUAAACCUCUCACUUCAGAACAGGGGAAGAAGACAAGAAAAUGAAGAGCUGGAGUCUCAGUACCAGCAGAGCAUGGACAGCAAACUCUCAGGAUCGUAGUGGGGCAGAACUGCGGCUCGAUUUCAGCGAGGUAGAAGAUCAUGAUGGAGAAAGUGAUGUGGCUGGAGAUGAUGAUGAAGACGACCUUCCUGAUGCAGUGAA